GUUCAUCUGUUGGCUUGGGAUACUGAUCUUGAGGUAAUGGCCAUGGAAAAUAGCUAUAUCUCAAGUGUUGAAAAGGCACUGGUGUUUGAUCUUCUAUCUGGUUUUUUGGAUUCUGAGCUAAGAGAGAUGGAGAAUUUCAUGGAUAGUAUCCAAGCAGAUAUUGUUCAUGCUCGUCAUAAAAUAUUUUCAUGCGGACACUUAACAGAACUAGUCCCAAUCAUGGAAGAGAAAUUGCACGAUUCUGAGGAAUCCUUGAACAAAUCUAAAGAGCGGC
This 274-nucleotide unclassified non-coding RNA is filed under the name Hevea brasiliensis (rubber tree). The record is from RNAcentral. Lineage: Eukaryota; Viridiplantae; Streptophyta; Magnoliopsida; Malpighiales; Euphorbiaceae.